Molecule: ribosomal RNA, 484 nt
Filed under: uncultured bacterium
Lineage: Bacteria
Description: partial 16S ribosomal RNA
Rfam family: Bacterial small subunit ribosomal RNA
Source: RNAcentral
AUUGAACGCUGGCGGCAGGCCUAACACAUGCAAGUCGAGCGGAUGAAGGGAGCUCGCUCCUGGAUUCAGCGGCGGACGGGUGAGUAAUGCCUAGGAAUCUGCCCGGUAGUGGGGGAUAACGUCCGGAAACGGGCGCUAAUACCGCAUACGUCCUGAGGGAGAAAGUGGGGGAUCUUCGGACCUCACGCUAUCAGAUGAGCCUAGGUCGGAUUAGCUAGUUGGUGGGGUAAAGGCCUACCAAGGCGACGAUCCGUAACUGGUCUGAGAGGAUGAUCAGUCACACUGGAACUGAGACACGGUCCAGACUCCUACGGGAGGCAGCAGUGGGGAAUUUUGGACAAUGGGCGAAAGCCUGAUCCAGCCAUGCCGCGUGUGUGAUGAAGGUCUUCGGAUUGUAAAGCACUUUUAGUUGGGAAGAAGAGCAGUAUGUUAAUACCUUGCUGUUUUGACGUUACCAACAGAAUAAGCACCGGCUAACUACGUG